Molecule: long non-coding RNA, 1191 nt
Organism: Zeugodacus cucurbitae (melon fly)
Lineage: Eukaryota; Metazoa; Arthropoda; Insecta; Diptera; Tephritidae
Exons: 3
Source: RefSeq, a predicted model, not a curated record
AAAUCGGAACGACUAAAUAGCCGACGUUGACAGCCGAUUGCGCCGACGUCAGAGCAAUUGGAGACCAAGCUGCAUACACAAACAUUCCACGGCACAAGUGCAUUGGCAAUACGUGAUGUCGACGCCGGCGCCGACUGCGAACGUCGACGAAACCACUUGUCAAAGUUUGCACUUAGAAAAAUUCUCCAAGUUAAAAUUGGAGCUCGAUACGAACGGACGUGUGUAGACGGCAAUUUGCGCGAUACAGCAUAUUUUCCUUUCCAACUCAAGUGUAUAUUAACCAAAUUUAGAAUUGUUGAAAAGCCAACAAUGUUUAAAGCGUUAUAAAAAAAUACUAGCUACUACUUCCUGCAAAAGUAUAAUAAAAUAAUUAAUUAAAAUUUCACUUUCAAAUACGUCAAAUAUUUGACAAUAAUAAAGUUCUCAAACGAAGUUGAAAUCGAAAAUUUCAUACUACAAAGAAUUUUUGUAUAAAUUUGUGCAGAUAUUGCAUUAAUCGAACCGAAAAAAAAUUGAAAAAUUUGUAACAAAAUUUAAGUGUAAAGCCACAAAAUUGCCAAAUGAAGUGAAUAAUCUAAGCGUGUGUGUGAAAAGUGAGAAAAUUUAGUAAUUGAAAAGUGCAAAAGCACAAUUGUUGUAGUUCAAAGCGUUGCAGAUACACGUAAACAGCAUCGUACAACAACAACAACAAUAACAGUAUUGACUAUUACAAGCAACAAUACGCAAUAGAAGUACCAAAUACGCGCGGCCCCAAAAAAGCGCUGGCAGCUAAUAAGAAAAGGCAGCGGCACCAGCAAUUAACAGUUGUGUAAUUUUCAUAUUCGUGAUUGUUACAGGGCUCUUUGAGAACGGUAAUCCUUCACGUAGUGCAGUGUUCAUUGGCAGUGAGUUAAAAAUCGUGCAAAGCGUGUAAAUUAAAUGAAUGUGUAGUGCAAUAAAUAAACAUAAAAGUGCACAAACAUAUCCCUACCCCAAUACCCCAAACAACCUGACCCAACAAGUGUAUUAGUUGAGGGCGCGCAUAGCUCUUACCGCCAUAACCCCAUCCCCAGAGUAACAGCGCAACGGCAUCCCACGCCCAAAAUAACCGUUGCAGCCCAACCAGCUGCAAUCAAACCAAUAACCGGCGUGUUAUAGCACCAAUCGUGCAACAAAUACAACACGCAUCCCCACCAAGUGGACGCUGUGUAC